GCACACAUAGUACAUUGGAAACACCGUUUUUCGUUAGAUCACCGAAGUUAAGCAAUGUUAGACCAGGUCAUCACUUGGGAGGGUGACCACUUGGGAACACUGGGGCUGUAGGUUUU
Molecule: non-coding RNA, 116 nt
Organism: Cordylochernes scorpioides
Lineage: Eukaryota; Metazoa; Arthropoda; Arachnida; Pseudoscorpiones; Chernetidae
Source: the annotation of a GenBank genome assembly